AAAUAGAAAAAAAACUCUGAGCCAAAGUGAAAGCAAUGAAAAGGCAUGGCAUGCAAACAACUGCAGGGACACUCACAACAUACACCAAGCCUUGACAGAAUUGAUCCCCGCUGAAGGCCAAAACAAAUAAGAAGGACUUACAAACACUCUGGAAUGGAGAUAUGAUCAAAGGAAAUGAAAUUGGAAAAAAAAAAAAAGAAAAAUGGGAAAUUUGGUGACUACAAGACAGUGGUCUGGGCAGAAAGGAGGUGCGGUGUAAAGAAGCAAAAGAGGCCAAAUCUGUCCUUACUGGUGUUGCUAAUAAGGGAAAAAAUUAAGGAGGCAGACACAACAUGGAGAUGAAGAUAUGAAGGACAAAGCAUGGAUACUUAUAAAAAAAAAAAAAAAUCUCAGCCAAAGUGAAAGCAAUGAAAAGGCAUGGCAGGCAAACAACUGCAGAGACACUCACAACAUACACCAAGCCUUGCCAGAAUUGAUCCCCGCUGAAGGCCAAAACAAAUAAGAAGGACUUACAAACACU
Molecule: long non-coding RNA, 520 nt
Organism: Serinus canaria (Common canary)
Lineage: Eukaryota; Metazoa; Chordata; Aves; Passeriformes; Fringillidae
Exons: 3
Source: RefSeq, a predicted model, not a curated record